Molecule: ribosomal RNA, 426 nt
Filed under: uncultured bacterium
Lineage: Bacteria
Description: bacterial SSU rRNA
Rfam family: Bacterial small subunit ribosomal RNA
Source: RNAcentral
AGGGAAUAUUGGACAAUGGGGGCAACCCUGAUCCAGCCAUGCCGCGUGAGUGAAGAAGGCCCUCGGGUUGUAAAGCUCUUUUGUCCGGAAAGAAAAGCAUUCGGUGAGUACCCGGAUGUUCUGACGGUACCGGAAGAAUAAGCACCGGCUAACUUCGUGCCAGCAGCCGCGGUAAUACGAAGGGUGCAAGCGUUACUCGGAAUUACUGGGCGUAAAGCGUGCGUAGGUGGUUGUUUAAGUCUGAUGUGAAAGCCCUGGGCUCAACCUGGGAAUGGCAUUGGAAACUGGGCAGCUAGAGUGCGGUAGAGGGUAGUGGAAUUCCCGGUGUAGCAGUGAAAUGCGUAGAGAUCGGGAGGAACAUCUGUGGCGAAGGCGACUGCCUGGACCAGCACUGACACUGAGGCACGAAAGCGUGGGGAGCAAACA